CGCUAGCUACAGGCUUAACACAUGCAAGUCGAGGGGCAGCAUGGUCUUAGCUUGCUAAGGCCGAUGGCGACCGGCGCACGGGUGAGUAACACGUAUCCAACCUGCCGUCUACUCUUGGACAGCCUUCUGAAAGGAAGAUUAAUACAAGAUGGCAUCAUGAGUCCGCAUGUUCACAUGAUUAAAGGUAUUCCGGUAGACGAUGGGGAUGCGUUCCAUUAGAUAGUAGGCGGGGUAACGGCCCACCUAGUCUUCGAUGGAUAGGGGUUCUGAGAGGAAGGUCCCCCACAUUGGAACUGACACACGGUCCAAACUCCUACGGGAGGCAGCAGUGAGGAAUAUUGGUCAAUGGGCGAGAGCCUGAACCAGCCAAGUAGCGUGAAGGAUGACUGCCCUAUGGGUUGUAAACUUCUUUUAUAAAGGAAUAAAGUCGGGUAUGCAUACCCGUUUGCAUGUACUUUAUGAAUAAGGAUCGGCUAACUCCGUGCCAGCAGCCGCGGUAAUACGGAGGAUCCGAGCGUUAUCCGGAUUUAUUGGGUUUAAAGGGAGCGUAGAUGGAUGUUUAAGUCAGUUGUGAAAAGUUUGCGGCUCACCCGUAAAAUUGCAGUUGAUACUGGAUAUCUUGAGUGCAGUUGAGGCAGGCGGAAUUCGUGGUGUAGCGGUGAAAUGCUUAGAUAUCACGAAGAACUCCGAUUGCGAAGGCAGCCUGCUAAGCUGCAACUGACAUUGAGGCUCGAAAGUGUGGGUAUCAAACAGGAUUAGAUACCCUGGUAGUCCACACGGUAAACGAUGAAUACUCGCUGUUUGCGAUAUACAGCAAGCGGCCAAGCGAAAGCGUUAAGUAUUCCACCUGGGGAGUACGCCGGCAACGGUGAAACUCAAAGGAAUUGACGGGGGCCCGCACAAGCGGAGGAACAUGUGGUUUAAUUCGAUGAUACGCGAGGAACCUUACCCGGGCUUAAAUUGCAGAUGAAUUACGGUGAAAGCCGUAAGCCGCAAGGCAUCUGUGAAGGUGUUGCAUGGUUGUCGUCAGCUCGUGCCGUGAGGUGUCGGCUUAAGUGCCAUAACGAGCGCAACCCUUGUUGUCAGUUACUAACAGGUUCCGCUGAGGACUCUGACAAGACUGCCAUCGUAAGAUGUGAGGAAGGUGGGGAUGACGUCAAAUCAGCACGGCCCUUACGUCCGGGGCUACACACGUGUUACAAUGGGGGGGUACAGAGGGCCGCUACCACGCGAGUGGAUGCCAAUCCCAAAAACCUCUCUCAGUUCGGACUGGAGUCUGCAACCCGACUCCACGAAGCUGGAUUCGCUAGUAAUCGCGCAUCAGCCACGGCGCGGUGAAUACGUUCCCGGGCCUUGUACACACCGCCCGUCAAGCCAUGGGAGCCGGGGGUACCUGAAGUGCGUAACCGCGAGGAGCGCCCUAGGGUAAAACUGGUGA
RNAcentral lists this ribosomal RNA (1438 nucleotides) under uncultured organism. Its description in RNAcentral is "16S ribosomal RNA". It matches the Rfam family "Bacterial small subunit ribosomal RNA". The record is from RNAcentral.